AUAAACAUGAUUCAUUCCAAUGUAGUGUUCAUUAUGGCAAAUAAAGGACCUAUGGGAAAGAACCAGAAAAUGAUAUAAAAAAAUAAAUAAAAAAAGAUAAAUAAAUAAAAAUAGGCACAUUUGCACUACUACAAUUUAGAUAACACAACAAGUAUAUACAGUACCCUCCCGAGUUUUGCAUUGUUUUGACAAGUAUAGGUCACAUUUACCCAUUAUCAGCAUCACGCGUAUACAUACAAUAAACCUCCCAUAAAUCUGAGCUCUCUCUCUCUCUCUCUCUCUCUCUGAAAGUAAGAACAAUCAUAAGGAUUGCUAAAUAAAAUGAGACUGAGAAUGAAAAUGGAAUUAUGCAUACGAGAGAAAGUGAGAAAGGAUUAAGCAAAAAUGGCAUAAAAUGAAUGAGAGAGAGAGAGAGAGAGAGAGAGAGAGAGAGAGAGAGAGAGAGAGAGAGAGAGAGAGAGAGAGAGAGAGAGAGAGAGAGAGAGAGAGAGAGAGAGAGAGAGAGAGAGAGAGAGAGAGAGAGAGAGAGAGAGUAAGGUAUCAUUCCCUAAUCCCUUAUCUCCUACAGAUAAGGGUGAGGGGAGGUGACUGAGAGGGGGGUUUGAGACAAGAUGAAAGAAGGGACAGGUGGUGGAUAUGUGAGCAGCAGCUCACAGCUGCACACCACAGAAAUAAUGGCAGCACACACUUUGAAAAUCACUGGGAUAAGGAGUGGUUGGGAAGCUACUCUCAUCCCCUUCCACUGAGGCAGCAGUCUGAAGAUGCUGAAUGUUCUGGUCAUCCAUCAACCAACAGAAUAAGGAAAAUAUUGGAGAGUGCAUUAAACUAUCAAGAAGGAUUGCCAGUGGAUGUAGCAUCACUGGCUUGUUGUUCAGGUCAUACCACAGGAUUCUCCAUGAGGAACUUAGCAUGAAAUGGACUGCUGCCAGAUCUGUGCCCCAUCUGGUGACAAGACCUGCCCACUGACUGUCUGCUGAGAUCUCUAGGAACUCUAAUGUAAUCAAGGCCUCCUUUCCAAGAUCAUUACUGAUAAUGAAAGCUGGGCUUACAACUAUGACCUAGAAACCAAGCAGCAGUCAUUCCAGUGAAACAGUCCAAGCUCACCCUCACUGGAGAAAGUGAGGUGGGUUGAAAUCAAUUAAAUGGUCAAUGUCAUGAUUUGGCCAAUCUGUUCCUUUCACAUGGAGAGAAUUGUUCACAUGAAGUUUCUCCUACCACUUUUAUACUGAGAUCCUGAGGUCCUGUAAUGUUUAAAGACCACUGAGAUGCUGGUCCCUGAAUAAGGGAAUGUGAGUGAGAAACAUGCUGACAACUGGUAUGGACAAAACUAACUUCUGCAUCACAACAAUGUGCCAUCCCACAAUGCUCUAUCUGUUCAGCAGUUCUCAGCUAAAAUCCAUAUGGCAGUAGUUUUCCACUAUCUACUUCCCCCAACCUAGCCUACUGAAACUGGAGAUUUGAGUGAAGGACAAUGUCCAGAUUUAAGAAGAAAUGUGGAACAAGCUGAAAUGUAUCCCCCGGAGUUCCAAAAGGUAUCGCUCUCAAGUGACUGUGAUGCGAGAUUAAUACUGGGUCAACUCCUCAGAGGAUAAUACCUCAGUUAAUAAUAUUACCACUUCCACUUCAGAGGUUGGUUAAUUGCAGUUGUGAAGAUAUGUUCCCCCCAGAGCAAGACAGAAGUGAGGGGGUGUUUGUAUCCUCAAAACUGUUUGCAUCCACACUUGUACAGUAAAAUCCCUCUCAUCCGGCAUUCGAGUAUCCGGCAGCUUCAAGUAUCCGGCACAUUUUUCCCCAAGCCUUAAAAUCAAUAAAAAAUCAAUGUGUACUCAUAAAAUCGAAUAAAAUUCCCACGCGAGGCAUACUUUGUCCCCUCGCCACCAGAGCGCACUGCUUCGCACCACCCGCGGCCCACUGCACUGUCUUUACUCAGUGACUCAGUCCCGCGUGUGCACUGUUUAUUGCCUGACGCCUUCAUCAUGCCUAAAGUUGUAGAAAAGAGGAAGCGUGUUGUGCUUACACUUAAGCAGCUGAUCAGAUCAGCUGAUCUUUGUUAUGGUAAGAUGUGUGAGUGUAGGGUGGUGAUUGUGGACAUAAUUUCACUUCUAUUCAAGUAUCCGGCAUGUCGGCGGUCCUGUUGAUGCCGGAUAAGAGGGAUUUUACUGUACUCCUCAGACUGCCUACCUCGCUAGGCACUCUGCGUUUGUCCAUUUGUUUGUCUUUAUUACUAGAGAGACUGUUUUUCACAAUUAUAGCACUGUCAUAGUUAUCUAUAACAAAUGCUAUUCACUGGUUUUAGAAUUACAUGAAACUGCUUGCCACCUGUUCAUUAAGAUGAAAUUGGUGAGGUUGACUCAGAUGACAUUGUCACUGCUAUCCUCCCCAUAUAUUGUAGGUAUGUAGUAGACUUUUCUCUCUGGUUCUGUUUAGUGAUGUUUAGUUCAGUAAAAAUUAGCAGGGAUGUGGACACACCAGGUCUUUAGUGUUUCUGUGUAUUUACAAGAUUUACCCAUGGCCCUGUUCCAUGGCAAGACAACCAACCAGUGAGCCACACUCCCCAGUGCUGCCAACACACUCCUGCCCACAUUCACACCAACCGGCCUUGAGGGCGGCAAAAGUUGACAUAUUAUUAAGUAACAAGUUUAUUACUUUAAGAGAAAAGUUGCAAUUAGAGUAACAGUACUACUAAAUAGAUAAUGAAUAAUGUACAAUCUCUCUACAUCCUCCAAAUAUGAAUAUUAAAUAAACCAACUUAGCAUUCUCAUUCAAGUAAC
Scylla paramamosain (green mud crab) is the source of this 2771-nucleotide long non-coding RNA. RefSeq lists it as uncharacterized. The record is from RefSeq and is a predicted model, not a curated record. The transcript has 3 exons. NCBI's taxonomy places the organism in Eukaryota, Metazoa, Arthropoda, Malacostraca, Decapoda, Portunidae.